GUCCACGCCCUAAACGAUGUCUACUUGCUGUUGGGUGUAAAAGCUUAGUAGCGAAGCUAACGCGAGAAGUAGACCGCCUGGGGAGUACGGUCGCAAGAUUAAAACUCAAAGGAAUUGACGGGGACCCGCACAAGCGGUGGAUGAUGUGGAUUAAUUCGAUGCAACGCGAAGAACCUUACCUGCUCUUGACAUGUAUGGAAGAUUUCAGAGAUGAGAUUGUGCCUUCGGGAACCAUAACACAGGUGCUGCAUGGCUGUCGU
Molecule: ribosomal RNA, 260 nt
Filed under: uncultured bacterium
Lineage: Bacteria
Description: partial 16S ribosomal RNA
Rfam family: Bacterial small subunit ribosomal RNA
Source: RNAcentral